This 253-nucleotide ribosomal RNA is filed under the name uncultured bacterium. RNAcentral's name for it is "partial 16S ribosomal RNA". It matches the Rfam family "Bacterial small subunit ribosomal RNA", at positions 524 to 776 of the family's 1533-position model. The record is from RNAcentral.
UACAGAGGCCCCAAGCGUUACUGAGAAUCACUGGGUUUAAAGGGUGCGUAGGUGGUCCGUUAAGUUCGUUGUGAAAGCCCUGGGCUCAACCCAGGAACUGCUUCGAAUACUGGCGGACUUGGAGGCUAGUAGAGGUCACUGGAACUGACGGUGGAGCGGUGAAUGCGUAGAUAUCGUCAGGAACGCCAAUGGUGAAGACAGGUGACUGGGCUAGUUCUGACACUGAGGCACGAAAGCGUGGGGAUCAAACGGG